AUUGAACGCUGGCGGCAUGCUUUACACAUGCAAGUCGAACGGUAACAGGUCUUCGGAUGCUGACGAGUGGCGAACGGGUGAGUAAUGCAUCGGAACGUGCCCAGUCGUGGGGGAUAACGCAGCGAAAGCUGUGCUAAUACCGCAUACGAUCUAUGGAUGAAAGCGGGGGACCGUAAGGCCUCGCGCGAUUGGAGCGGCCGAUGUCAGAUUAGGUAGUUGGUGGGGUAAAGGCCCACCAAGCCAACGAUCUGUAGCUGGUCUGAGAGGACGACCAGCCACACUGGGACUGAGACACGGCCCAGACUCCUACGGGAGGCAGCAGUGGGGAAUUUUGGACAAUGGGCGCAAGCCUGAUCCAGCAAUGCCGCGUGCAGGAAGAAGGCCUUCGGGUUGUAAACUGCUUUUGUACGGAACGAAACGGUCUGGGUUAAUACCCUGGGCUAAUGACGGUACCGUAAGAAUAAGCACCGGCUAACUACGUGCCAGCCGCCGCGGUAA
This 498-nucleotide ribosomal RNA is filed under the name uncultured bacterium. RNAcentral describes it as "partial 16S ribosomal RNA". It matches the Rfam family "Bacterial small subunit ribosomal RNA", at positions 30 to 523 of the family's 1533-position model. The record is from RNAcentral.